This 478-nucleotide ribosomal RNA is filed under the name uncultured bacterium. Its description in RNAcentral is "partial 16S ribosomal RNA". It matches the Rfam family "Bacterial small subunit ribosomal RNA", at positions 28 to 507 of the family's 1533-position model. The record is from RNAcentral.
GACGAACGCUGGCGGCGUGCUUAACACAUGCAAGUCGAACGGGAUUUAGUAAACAGAAACCUCGGUGGAAGAUUACUAAUGAGAGUGGCGAACGGGUGAGUAACGCGUGAGCAACCUGCCUAUGACAGUGGGAUAGCCUCGGGAAACCGGGAUUAAUACCGCAUAAAAUCGUAGAAACACAUGUUUUAACGGUCAAAGAUUUAUCGGUCAUAGAUGGGCUCGCGUCUGAUUAGCUAGUUGGUGAGAUAACAGCCCACCAAGGCGACGAUCAGUAGCCGGUCGGAGAGGAGGAACGGCCACAAUGGAACUGAGACACGGUCCAAACUCCUACGGGAGGCAGCAGUGGGGAAUAUUGCACAAUGGGGGAAACCCUGAUGCAGCGACGCCGCGUGAACGAAGAAGGUAUUCGUAUCGUAAAGUUCUGUCCUAUGGGAAGAUAAUGACAGUACCAUAGAAGAAAGCGCCGGCUAAAUACGUG